Molecule: long non-coding RNA, 494 nt
Organism: Ceratitis capitata (Mediterranean fruit fly)
Lineage: Eukaryota; Metazoa; Arthropoda; Insecta; Diptera; Tephritidae
Exons: 3
Source: RefSeq, a predicted model, not a curated record
GCUUGAGAAAAGUGAGAGUUUCGUAAAAACAUCGCAAGAGAAAUUUGAUUAUCCAAAGUGAGCGCAACAAAGGCUGAAGUGCUCUUCGGCGUUGCUGUUGAGUAAUGAAGGAAGAGAAAAGUGUGUGAAUACGAAAAAGAAACAAUUAUUUGAAUGAUGGCUAAGAGAAUUCACAUUAAAAAUAUGGAAAUUUUUUAAGUAGUGUUCAAAAAUUCUGGCAAGAUCACUUAGAAUGCCAAUACCACACCUAUGACCUUGUGCACCGUUACUUAUCAUGUUCAUUUUUGAAGAGUCCCAUAUUCUUUGAAAAAUGUUUUGGAAACAAGCUGGCCACAAUUGUUCAACUACUUCAGAACCCUUUGGAAAAUAUAUGUGAAAGCAAUUCUAAAAUUUUUCUCGAAUAGCUCAAAAUCCAUCAACAUUCCAAGGAUAAAUGAUGCAGACCGUGGAGCAACUUUUUUUUCAUUGUACUUUGGGUCGCGUGAUAUUUUAUG